RNAcentral lists this small RNA (120 nucleotides) under Marmota monax (woodchuck). Lineage: Eukaryota; Metazoa; Chordata; Mammalia; Rodentia; Sciuridae. The record is from RNAcentral.
GCUGGGCAUGGUGGCUCAGGCCUGUAAUCCUAGUGGCUUAGGAGGCUGAGGCAGGAGGAUCACGUGUUCAAAACCAGCCUCAGCAAAGGCCCUAAGCAACUCAGCAAGACCCUGUCUCUA